GCCAGGUGUGGUGGCACACACCUGUAAUCCCAGCAGCUCAGGAGGCUGAGACAGAAGGAUGGCAAGUUCAAAGCCAGCCUCAGCAACAGCAAGGCCCUAAGCAACUCAGUGAGACCCUGUCUCUA
This 125-nucleotide small RNA is filed under the name Marmota monax (woodchuck). Lineage: Eukaryota; Metazoa; Chordata; Mammalia; Rodentia; Sciuridae. The record is from RNAcentral.